GGCUCGUUCGUCUAGGGGUUAGGACGCCGCCCUCUCAAGGCGGUAACACGGGUUCGAUUCCCGUACGGGCUA
RNAcentral lists this transfer RNA (72 nucleotides) under Fidelibacterota bacterium. RNAcentral's name for it is "tRNA-Glu". It matches the Rfam family "tRNA". From Rfam's summary of the family: Transfer RNA (tRNA) molecules are approximately 80 nucleotides in length. Lineage: Bacteria; Pseudomonadati; Fidelibacterota. The record is from RNAcentral.